UGGGGAAUAUUGCGCAAUGGGGGGAACCCUGACGCAGCAACGCCGCGUGAAGGAAGAAGGUCUUCGGAUUGUAAACUUCUUUGGCAGGGGACGAAAGAAGACGGUACCCUGAGAACAAGCCACGGCUAACUACGUGCCAGCAGCCGCGGUAAUACGUAGGUGGCGAGCGUUGUCCGGAAUUACUGGGUGUAAAGGGCGUGUAGGCGGGGGCAUAAGUCAGGUGUGAAAAUCCAAGGCUUAACCUUGGGGCUGCAUCUGAAACUAUGUUUCUUGAGUGCUGGAGAGGAAAGCGGAAUUCCCAGUGUAGCGGUGAAAUGCGUAGAGAUUGGGAGGAACACCAGUGGCGAAGGCGGCUUUCUGGACAGUAACUGACGCUGAGGCGCGAAAGCGUGGGGAGCAAACAGG
Molecule: ribosomal RNA, 405 nt
Filed under: uncultured bacterium
Lineage: Bacteria
Description: bacterial SSU rRNA
Rfam family: Bacterial small subunit ribosomal RNA
Source: RNAcentral